AGAGUUUGAUCAUGGCUCAGGAUAAACGCUGGCGGCGUGCCUAACACAUGCAAGUCGAACGCCCUGUUGCUUCGGCAGCAGGGAGUGGCGGACGGGUGAGUAACACAUGGGCCACCUACCCCCUGGUGAGGAAUACCGGCGAGAAAUCGUCGACAAGACCGCAUGCGCUUCCGACAACGAAGCAAAGCCCGGCAACGGGCGCCAGAGGAUGGGCCUGUGGCCGAUUAGCUAGUUGGGGAGGUAAAAGCCCCCCAAGGCGACGAUCGGUAGCUGGUCUGAGAGGAUGAUCAGCCACACUGGGAUUGAGAACGGCCCAGACUCCUACGGGAGGCAGCAGUGAGGAAUUUUCGGCAAUGGGCGCAAGCCUGACCGAGCAACGCCGCGUGCAGGACGAAGGUCUUCGGAUCGUAAACCGCUUUUCUCGGGGAUGAAUUUAUGACAGUACCCGAGGAAGAAGCCCCGGCUGACUACGUGCCAGCAGCCGCGGUAAGACGUAGGGGGCAAGCGUUGUCCGGAGUUACUGGGCGUAAAGCGCCCGCAGGCGGUCGGUCGCGUUUGAGGUAACAGCUCCUGGCUUACCUGGGAGAGCGUCUCAAAGACGGGCUGACUUGAGGGCCAGAGAGGGACACGGAAU
This 634-nucleotide ribosomal RNA is filed under the name uncultured soil bacterium. Its description in RNAcentral is "bacterial SSU rRNA". It matches the Rfam family "Bacterial small subunit ribosomal RNA", at positions 8 to 667 of the family's 1533-position model. The record is from RNAcentral.